GACAGAGGGGGCAAGCGUUGCUCGGAAUUACUGGGCGUAAAGGGCGCGUAGGCGGGAUGGCAAGUCGGUCGUGAAAUCCCUCGGCUCAACCGAGGAACGUCGAUCGAUACUGCUGUUCUUGAGGAUUGCAGAGGAGACUGGAAUUCCCGGUGUAGCGGUGAAAUGUGUAGAGAUCGGGAGGAACACCGGUGGCGAAGGCGGGUCUCUGGGCCGUA
Molecule: ribosomal RNA, 215 nt
Filed under: uncultured bacterium
Lineage: Bacteria
Description: partial 16S ribosomal RNA
Rfam family: Bacterial small subunit ribosomal RNA
Source: RNAcentral